UACCAGCACCCCGAGUGGUCGGGACGAUUAUUGGGCCUAAAGCAUCCGUAGCCGGUUCUGCAAGUCCCCCGUUAAAUCCAGCUGCUCAACAGAUGGGCCGCGGAGGAUACUACAGAGCUAGGAGGCAGGAGAGGCAAGCGGUACUCAGUGGGUAGGGGUAAAGUCCGUUGAUCCAUUGAAGACCACCAGUGGCGAAGGCGGCUUGCCAGAAUGCGCUCGACGGUGAGGGAUGAAAGCUGGGGGAGCAAACCGG
RNAcentral lists this ribosomal RNA (253 nucleotides) under uncultured bacterium. RNAcentral's name for it is "partial 16S ribosomal RNA". It matches the Rfam family "Archaeal small subunit ribosomal RNA", at positions 474 to 727 of the family's 1478-position model. The record is from RNAcentral.